Molecule: non-coding RNA, 77 nt
Organism: Paramuricea clavata
Lineage: Eukaryota; Metazoa; Cnidaria; Anthozoa; Malacalcyonacea; Plexauridae
Source: the annotation of a GenBank genome assembly
AUAGGAAUUCCUAUAGGAAUAGAUUUCCUAUAGGAAUUUCCUAUAGGAACUGAAUUCCUAUAGGAAUUCCAAUUUCC